This 627-nucleotide ribosomal RNA is filed under the name Fusarium dimerum. RNAcentral's name for it is "eukaryotic LSU rRNA". It matches the Rfam family "Eukaryotic large subunit ribosomal RNA", at positions 1 to 651 of the family's 3401-position model. RNAcentral also lists the same sequence under 2 other names. Lineage: Eukaryota; Fungi; Ascomycota; Sordariomycetes; Hypocreales; Nectriaceae. The record is from RNAcentral.
UUGACCUCGGAUCAGGUAGGAAUACCCGCUGAACUUAAGCAUAUCAAUAAGCGGAGGAAAAGAAACCAACAGGGAUUGCCCUAGUAACGGCGAGUGAAGCGGCAACAGCUCAAAUUUGAAAUCUGGCUCUCGGGCCCGAGUUGUAAUUUGUAGAGGAUGCUUUUGGCAAGGUGCCUUCCGAGUUCCCUGGAACGGGACGCCAUAGAGGGUGAGAGCCCCGUCUGGUUGGACACCGAGCCUCUGUAAAGCUCCUUCGACGAGUCGAGUAGUUUGGGAAUGCUGCUCUAAAUGGGAGGUAUAUGUCUUCUAAAGCUAAAUACUGGCCAGAGACCGAUAGCGCACAAGUAGAGUGAUCGAAAGAUGAAAAGCACUUUGAAAAGAGAGUUAAAAAGCACGUGAAAUUGUUGAAAGGGAAGCGCUUAUGACCAGACUUGGGCUUGGUUGAUCAUCCGGCGUUCUCGCCGGUGCACUCUUCCAGUUCAGGCCAGCAUCAGUUUGCCUCGGGGGAUAAAAGUAGCGGGAAUGUGGCUCCUCCGGGAGUGUUAUAGCCCGCUGCAUAAUACCCUGUGGCAGACUGAGGACCGCGCUUCGUGCAAGGAUGCUGGCGUAAUGGUCAUCAGCGACCCG